AGUUCUUUUUCCAGCUGGCAACGUUUAAGGAAUGCUGCCUCAAAUGUAUAGGUUUUGCCUCCUGUGCCCUUGCCACAAAAGGUUUCCGGAGCCUCAGGGUCUCCCUCCCGCCCUCAGGUGGUGUCUGUGCUGUGCUGCUUUGGUCUCUGGAUCCCUCGUUCCCUGGUGCUGGUGGAAAUGACCAUCACCUCGUUUUAUGCCGUGUGCUUUUACCUGCUGAUGCUGGUCAUGGUAGAAGGCUUUGGGGGGAAGGAGGCAGUGCUGAGGACACUGAGGGACACCCCGAUGAUGGUCCACACAGGCCCCUGCUGCUGCUGCUGCCCCUGCUGUCCGCAGCUGCUGCUCACCAGGAAGAAGCUUCAGCUGCUGAUGUUGGGCCCUUUCCAAUACGCCUUCUUGAAGAUAACGCUGACCCUGGUGGGCCUGUUUCUCAUCCCCGACGGCAUCUAUGACCCAGCAGACAUUUCUGAGGGGAGCACAGCUCUAUGGAUCAACACUUUCCUCGGCGUGUCCACACUGCUGGCUCUCUGGACCCUGGGCAUCGUUUCCCGUCAAGCCAGGCGACACCUGAGUGAGCAGAGCAUGGGAGCCAAAUUUGCUCUGUUCCAGGUUCUCCUCAUCCUGACUGCCCUACAGCCCUCCAUCUUCUCAGUCUUGGCCAACGGCGGGCAGAUUGCUUGUUCGCCUCCCUAUUCCUCUAAAACCAGGUCUCAAGGUGAGCACGUUAAGCCUCCUGUCCCAUCGUGGGAUGGAUGAGACGGGGAGAGUCAGGAAAGAAGGGGCCCCAGAACAGACAUUAGGCCAGCCUGACUUCUGCUCAGAGUGUUCAGAAGGGAUCUUUGGGAAAUCCCAACAGAGGCUUUAAGGAAACUAUGACCUCUCUGAUCACACAGAAGAGAAGUGAAACCCCACAGCUUGAGGCCAGCCCUGAGGGCCAACCCAGGAAGCCAUGGGUUCAGUCCUCAGCUCCUGGGAGAGGAAUGGGAAUGGUUAAAAACCAGAAGCCCAUGUUGAUUGAACACACAUAAGAAAUGGACUUUAAUGCCAGCCUCAGAGCACAGAAGUAGACAGCCAAGUUCCGGUUCUGGCUCUACCAUUAACCCGCUGUGUUAUUUAUGACAAUUUUGUAUCCCUAAGUCCUAGUUUGGGGAUAAGCUGGAGAAAGUGUUGCUCAACUCCUGUGCCA
RNAcentral lists this small RNA (1186 nucleotides) under Pongo abelii (Sumatran orangutan). RNAcentral's name for it is "retained intron". Lineage: Eukaryota; Metazoa; Chordata; Mammalia; Primates; Hominidae. The record is from RNAcentral.